Molecule: unclassified non-coding RNA, 314 nt
Filed under: uncultured fungus
Lineage: Eukaryota; Fungi
Also listed under: 1 other name
Description: partial contains 5.8S ribosomal RNA, internal transcribed spacer 2, and large subunit ribosomal RNA
Source: RNAcentral
AACGCACCUUGCACCUUUCAGUAUUCUGAAAGGUACACCUGUUUGAGUAUCAUUAAUAUCCUCCACUCAUUUCAUUGUUUUUCUUUGAAUUGAGAUGGGAAUUUGGGAGUAAUAUAUUUGCAAACUUUCCAGUUUGCUCUCCUUGAAUGUAUUAGUGAGAAGAAAACAAAAGGCAACAGGAGUGGCUGAUGUGAUAAUAACCAAAGUCUCUCAGCUCUUCUAACCUUUGAAUUGAAUUGUCUUCUUGCUUUCGAAACAAAGCAUUUUUCUUAAGACUUGAUCUCAAAUCAGGUGGGAUUACCCGCUGAACUUAA